AUUUUCUUACUAGAACUGUGUGGUACAUCACUGAAAUCUCUGUGGGUAUUGAUCUAUGACUUCACCUGCUGCUCAUUUCCCAACACUAAUUCCACUACGAGGUUGCCAGUUACUUAAAAGAUGUGCGGUGAUCCGAACAUUUUCAUUUUCACAUUUACCAGUCCAUCCAUAAUCCAUCCAUUUAAAUACGUCUGAGAUUAACUAUAGUCAAAAUUAUUUCUGCUUAUUUUUACUCAAAAAUGAAAUAUCAAUUGAUAUAAAUUAGGUCUAUUGACCAUGCAUUCCAAAAUAAGUGUAAAUUUAGUGGUAAUGAGUUGGAGUGAAGUUCAUUAACAUGGUAAAACACAGAAUUUGGGACUACAACCAGUCAAACCAAAAAGUGAACAGUGAACUCAAAAGUAACAAUAGAAAACUAGAAGAACUCCUAUUAAACAGUAAAAGAGUUUUUUUGUAUUAAAAAGUUUUCUUUUUGCAUACAUGUGUCUGUGUAUUUCUGUAUAUGACAACUUUGUAUUAAAAAAGCCUCUAGGCUGUAGUUUUAUACAUAUUUUGAACGUCUUAUUGCUAUGAGGUGUAAGGUAGAAAUAACACUCCCAACACUCAGGCCAGUUGUGAGUGAGUUGCCACCUUUCAGAAAUGAAAAUAAUUGACACCCACCACAGCUUCUUGGGGCCAUGACCACCAUGGGUCAACUUUUGUGAAGUUAAAAUAUAUAAAUAUUUAUAUAUUAGGGCUGUCAAUGUUAAAUUAUAAAUGUAUGUGAAUAAUUUGGAAUCAGAAAUGCAUUUUUUUUUUCUCAAUUUCAACUUCCCCCAUAAUCUGCCCUGUCCCCGCCAAACGGACAGAUUUUUUUCUGGAGCAUUUUGCUUGUGGUGAGAAUAUGAACUGGUCUUAAUGCAACCCAACUACCAAAAACACAACUUUCUAACUGAGCUAUACUGCUGAUAAGGCACAGUUUAAUCUGAUAUAUUAGUCAGAUAAUAUACUGCUAUGAACAAACGCUGUCUCUGCUGCUCCAUGCUGUGUUUGAAACUGGAACACCUGUCAUUUUAGUGGGGGAGGUUUAAUGGCUAAAUUGGAGCAGCCUGGUGGCCAAUCUCCAUUAAUUGCACAUUGCACCAGUAAGAGCAGAGUUUGAAGAUUCAAUUAGCAGGGUAAGAGCACAGUUUUGCUUAAAAUUUUGGGUGACAUACCAGAGUUCAAAAGAGAAAAAAAUGUUGUAGACAAAUUGUUAGUGCACGUCUUGCCGGCGCAUCUGUGACCAAGACAGCAAGUCUUUGUGAUGCAUCAAGAGCCACGGUAUCCAGGGUAAUGUCAGCAUACCACCAAGAAGGACCAACCACAUCCAACAGGAUUAACUGUGGACGCAAGAGGAAGCUGUCUGAAAGGGAUGUUCGGGUGCUAACCCGGUAUGUAUCCAAAUCACGGGAGAAUACAAUGUACACCUCAACUCUCCUGUUUCCACCAGAACUGUCUGUCUGUGAGAAGGUGUGUCCAAACAGUAGGUGUCUCAUAGAAUUAUUAAUACUGGCCUACAGUGAAGUGUUGCCUCAUCAUCAUUAACUCUGCAUGAUCUGAUGAGCUCUUCUGCUCCAGUGUAGCUGUUCAGCUGCUUUGUUUGGGGGGUCAGGCUCCUCACCUGCUGCACCGCUGGGUUCUGUUCUUUGAAGCUCAGCUGUGUUCUUUCUCGUCUCUCUCUCCCGUCCCGUGUUCCUCCCCGCAGGCAUGGCCGCGGCCAGCGCCCUUAUUGAUACCUCACAGCUGAAGCCGGGCCACUUCAAAGAUAAGAGUCUCAGACAGCCCCUCGUACAGAACCGCAGCUCUCCUGUUUGAACCGCCCGACUGACCUGGACGCACCGCACCGACCUCGGAUCCUGCCCUGUUUGUUUACCCUGCUCCUCCACCUGCCUCUCAAUUUCCUCCUUCUUCACCACUUUAAGGAAGACCUUGAAGUGUAAAUGACGGGGGGCAGUCUGUCAUUAGUAGUCUGUGUUGUACUUCUUUUAAAUCCCGAGCUCCACAGUGCAUCACAUGCACGCCCUCCUCAAAGCCUCUACAGACCAUAGCUGUGCUUCUCUUUCUUCCUUUCUUUCUUUCCUUAUACUCUUAACUACUCUUAACAAAAGUUAUUGAACACUUGUUGAUUGGGCAUCUAAUUAUUGUGUUAUUAUUAUAAAAAAGAUUUGUUUAGAAACUUUAAAGUUUAUUAAACUUCAGUUUUGCCUCUUGUAAUUCAUUUUUUUUUUACAGAGCUUGAUAACAUUAAUUUACAGUCCCCUCCAAAAGUAUUGGAACAGUGAGGCCAAACCCUUUUUAUUUAUGCUGUAGACUAAACACAUUUCAGCUUUUAUUUCCUGAAAUUUACAUCUGAACCCACAAACUUUUCUUGUGAGCAAAAUAUUAGAACAUGUGACCUUCAGGUGUGUGUGUUUUUUUUUUGUUACAGUCCAGGUGUCUCCUGUUACAUGAAUUAUUCAAGCAACAAAAAGCACUGAUUGUCUACUCUCAGUUUCAGAUUUGUGUUUUACCUGUGCAGAUUGUGCAUUAACUGUAUGGUUAAAGGAGUAAACAACAUGAAAACCAGAGAGCUCUGGGAGUCUAUGAAUGAAAAACAAGCAACUGUGAAGCUGAAAGUAGAUGGAAAAUCAAUCGACUGACAAAGAGCCAUUGCACAAAUAUUGGCCAUAGCCAGAACAAGCUGUGGAAUGAGCUGAAGAAGAAAGUCGUCACUGGUGUACUAAGUAAUAGAUGUCGAACAGGUAGACCAAGGAAAACAGCAGUGGAAGAAGAAUGAAGAGUAAAACAUAUGUUGGACUGUUAAAAGCUGUCAGACACAAGCCUCGUGAAAAAUACAUCUCUGGCCAAAUUGUGACCAACAACAUCCUGUUUGUGUAGUCUCCAGCUGCAUCCAGAGUUGCUCAACAGUGGGUGAACUCAUGCCUCACCCCUAAAUAAAGUCCAGAAAUACUUCAGUCACAGUUACAUCAUGACAGAUGGAAUGGAUGUGCUGGGUUGGAGGAGUUGUGUCUCAAGGCUGGUCCACAGGUAUCCAGACAUUUUUGAAAACUUUUCUCUUUUUUUCUCUCUCUGUCUCUAGUAGUGUUUCUAAAGGUCUCACUCACUAAACUCCACAUGAAAAUGCAAAACAGCUCUAGCCUGAUAACCUCAGCAGGUCACGGAAACUGAUCUCUAAUUCAUCAAGAAGCAAGAGUAAUGGCCAAACCAGACCUAAACAAAAUGCAAACCGGAAACAUGUUUUCUAAUAGCAACAACAGCAGGUCUUCAUAGACUCAAAACUUAGAAUUUGUACAGUACAGACAAUUUGCUAAAAAAAUGUAAAAUAGUUUUUUUUUUCCUCCCAUUGGUGAUUCUGCUUCUGUAGUUUUUUUCACAAAAUAUAGACAGAGCCAGAGUUGCCAGGUUUGUGUUUUUUUUUUUUUUUUUUUUGCCAAAUUGAGCUUGUUUGGAAAUUUGGUAAAAUUAAAUAUGUUGCAGAAUGCAUCGUUUUUGGGCUACUUUUAAAAUUUAACACGGCCGCCACUAAGCCUUCGUUGCUAACCGUUCAAAAUGAAAAUGUACUGUCUUGUUAAAUAGCUGAUAAAGGAAGAAGAGGCAGGAUAUAUUUAGUAAGGCACAGGAGGCAAACUAUUAAGAAAUGAAAAAUAUAAUGCUUAUAAAACAAAAAAAAGUUUAAAGUAAGUUUUUUAAAAAAAAAAUGAAAAACAAAGUAAGAUACAAGAUUUAAGUACAUUUUAGGCUAAUUUAAACAAAAAAAAACAGGUUUUAAACAGACUUUAAAACAUGGCUGGACUUUUUGCUGGACCUUGCAAUUCUGUGCAGGGCUGAGUAGCUUGUGGACAUCAGUGUGCAUCAGAAUGGCUCAUAAUGUUUUAUUGACCUUUUUGCACUUUUUUUCAUAUUCCACUGCUGUAGAUAACAUGUACUUACUUGUAAAUAAUAUCCAUAACACAUUACUGUUUUCAUGUAUAUAUAUCCAUCCUGGAUGUAAAUUUAACACCAAUUUAAUAUUUAUAUUUAGUUAGUUUAUUUCUUUCUUUAUUGUAUAUUUUCUACUGUUAUCUUUAUGCGGUAUACUUGGCAGGGAGCAAAGACAGAAUUUCAUUCAGGAAACUUGUUUCUUACUUUGCACAUGGCAAUAAACUCUUUGAAUUUUGAA
Molecule: long non-coding RNA, 4177 nt
Organism: Astyanax mexicanus (Mexican tetra)
Lineage: Eukaryota; Metazoa; Chordata; Actinopteri; Characiformes; Acestrorhamphidae
Exons: 3
Source: RefSeq, a predicted model, not a curated record